Molecule: RNA transcript, 3393 nt
Organism: Mangifera indica (mango)
Lineage: Eukaryota; Viridiplantae; Streptophyta; Magnoliopsida; Sapindales; Anacardiaceae
Gene name: inactive poly [ADP-ribose] polymerase RCD1-like
Exons: 10
Source: RefSeq, a predicted model, not a curated record
CACACUUCCAACGGCGUCGUAUUCACACCCCCCUCCCCUUUUUCUUUGUUCCGCUCUACGUUCACCAGUAGUUAGGGUUUGCUCUGACUCUCUCUCUUCUUCCUUUUGUUUCUCUCUCUAUUUCUCUUAAUCUAGCAAAAAAGAAAAAAUGAAAAUAAAAAUUGGAAUAGACAUAGGAAAUCUUAGCUCAUGAAAAUAAUCCUGCACCAAAAUCCAAACCCUAACCGGUAUUAGUUUUACGUUUUCAGAGAUUGCUGAACAAUACAAUUUUAUUUCUCAAUGAGUUCAAGACUUGGAAAUAUAAUAGAUUUCGGGGCUUUGAGUAUGAGUUUGUAUAUCACUAUUUGGAUGCUUAGGAGCAGAGCUAUUCAGGACUGUAUAUGAAUAAGGGAGUAGCUAUUCACGAGGAAUUUGUAUAUGAUGAACACUAACUGUGGUGCUAGGAUUUGCCGGUUUACUCAGAUGGCACUGUUUCUUUGAGACGGGUGGCAGGUUAGAGUAGGGUUCUUGUAUAUCCUUAUAUUUGAACCUUUGGAUUUAACCUUUUUGAUAGGGAUUGAUCUAGUAGGUAGAAAUAGAAAUGGAUCCAAAGAUCGCAAAGGUGUUGGAUAGUAGUUCUAGAGUUGUGCUCGGCCUGAAGAGAAAGAGAGCAACUCCACAUGCAACACAUUUUGCUGGGCCUCGACGAGCAUUUUUACAGCACCUGCCCCUUUGCAAAUCGUCGGCGCAAAAGCUUGAAAAGCGAAGGAAAUUAGAUGGAUGCAAAAGCAAAGUUGUGAGUGGGUGUAAUUUUAGAAAAUCUUUAAUCCAUUAUUACUCAAAUUACAAGAAAAGUGGUAUACCACAACGUCUUAUGUACUAUGAGAAUGGUGAUUGGACUGAUUUUCCUGAGGAUGUUAUUGCUUUUGUGAAGAAAGAUCUUCAAGAAAAGAAGGCAGCCGUAGAGGUUGAGCUAAAUGGUCAUUAUUUUCUGCUUGAUUUCCUGCAUAUGUUGCGACUGGACUUAAAAACAGGUGCACAACAAUCGAUUGCUUGGAUUGAUGAAGCAGGUGCUUGCUUCUUUCCAGAAAUUUACAUCAACGGCGAAGAAUCAUAUAACUGCUGCCAAAAUGAAUGUGGCAAAGACCAUGAAUCAGUGCGGAGGGAUUCUUAUGGGCCCCAUGAAAUAAAGCUACAGCUUGAAAUUGAUGUAGCUGGAGUGGAGCAGUCUAAGUUGAAAGAAUGUAGUGGCGAGUCAAAUGCUGUUAUUAAGCAGGUCCAAAUUGCACAAAAAUCUGCUGGUACCCAGUAUGUUGUGGAAGUUGAGGAUAGUUGCAACCGGAAAACUGAUGCAAAAUUAGACGAAGCUAUUGAAGACAAUCAGCAUAUGAAGACCAAUUUAGUGGCCAGGACUGAAUUAGUUGAUGAAAAGUUGGGAUCUGAUGCCGUACAGAAGAUUUUUUUAAUGGGUAUGAGAUGUUUUGGUGGUGUAGAAAUACUUGAUAUACAGUGCUGUGCUAGUCCUAGGUUGUCAGCACGUUUUGAGCUUUUCCAGAAACAGCUUGAAAUUACAAGAAAGUAUCGUGGGGAUGCAAAUGUUCGAUAUGCAUGGCUUGCUACUGCAAAAAGAGCACUUCCUAUGAUUAUGACAUUUGGGCUUGGGCUUUGUGGAGCAUCCACAACUAACUCCGCAUAUGGCAUUGGUGUCCAUCUUGCUGCUGCAAGCUCUCCUGAUGCCAGUGUAAAUAUUUGUGAUGUUGACGAAAAUGGUGUGCAACACAUGGUAUUUUGUCGUGUGAUUAUGGGAAAUAUGGAGCAAUUAUGCCCUGGAACUAAGCAGUAUCAUCCCAGUACAGAGGAUUUUGACAGUGGAGUUGAUGAUCUUCAGAACCCAAGGCAUUUCACAGUCUGGAAUAUGAAUGUGAAUACCCAUGUUUACCCAGAAUUUGUUGUUAGUUUCAAGAUUGCUUCCAAUGGUGAAGGGAAUGUGGUUGGAAGUGAGAAUCAGAAUACAAUAUCUGCAUUUACUACAUCUUCGCAAGGGCUUCGAAACCAUUUGCGGUUGGAAUCCUCUGCAGUUGAUUUUGGAACUGUUAGUCCUCUGGUUUCAGAGACUGGGGGAUCUCAGGGAAAAGCUCCUAGUACUAAUUCAUGCAGUCCAAGGGCUCCCAAAUCUCCUUGGAUGCCUUUUCCUAUGUUAUUUGCUGCCAUCUCAAAUAAAGUUUCUCCUAAUGACAUGGAGUUAAUUACCAAUCAUUAUGAACUAUUCAGGGCGAAGAAGAUUAGUCGGGAUGAUUUUGUCAAAAAGUUGCGAGUGACAGUUGGAGAUGUUUUGUUGAGGUCAACAAUAACUGCUCUACAAUGCAAGGUACCAUCCAAGCGAGAAGUUGAACUGUUGAACCAAAAUGUUGAAAAAUUACCUGAGCUUCAGUUAUCGUUAGGACCGUCUCCUGGAGUCUGAGCAGCUGUUCAUGGUCUCAUCUCUCAACAGAUAUGGGGAGAGGAGGGGAGGAGGCAACGCUGGGUACAUGCUUGUUGGAAAUAUGUCGACAUGAAGCUGUGAAUACACACUGGUGAUUGGUGUAGGCAGAGCUUCGAAGAUUAGUGGUGUCUGAUGAAGAAUUUGCAAAUUUCUGCUAUGCAAGAGACUGCUUACUAUUACAAAUUACCUCCGAAAAAUCUCAGUGCGGAGCAUAUAACCACUGGAAUUCAAUCAUGGUUUUGUUUUGAAUUUUAGAUUAAAGAUUAGUCAAGCAGUGGAUGCUGACAGAGUAUCCAAAGAAUAAGUGGACUCUUUCAGAUCGAUAAUUCUGACAAAGGAAAGAAGACAUCACUAGAAGUUGGUCUAGUGCUGAGAGCACUACGAUAUGGCAGCUAUGUUCAUAUCUAUGUGGCUUCUGGUGAAGUAUGUGGAGGGAAGAGAUAUUGAUAGCUAUGAAAGCAAUUUUUGCACACUUCCAUUCAAAUGACUGACUGUAUUGGAUGAUAUUGUUUGCGAUGUAUUCGCUACCAAGACCAAUGGUACUAUGGCUACAAAAGGUAUAGGUGCGUGUUGUUUUUAUUCUUCUAACUGGCUGCCAACUUUUUUGUUGCUUUCUCUUUGUUGGCAGCAAAUAUUUUGGGCGCAAACACGAACACACCCAAAUGCAAAAAAUCGUGGGAGGUAUGUGCCUCCGGAGAGGCUUCAUGAGAAAGCCUAGGGGGUAUGGUCAGACAGAGUUGAGUUUCAGGCCUAGUUGGGCUUAGAGCUUAAUCCGGGGCUUGAAUAGUUGAAUAAGAUUUUAAACAAACGAAAAGUUUAAGCUCGGUUUAUGUCCAUGUUUAAUUUAGUUCGAAACACUUUUUCUUUCAUCCUUUAGACUUGUCAAUUCAAUUGCGGAUGGGUAUUGUUUAGAAUAUAUGCUAUGUUAUGCA